RNAcentral lists this ribosomal RNA (432 nucleotides) under uncultured bacterium. RNAcentral's name for it is "partial 16S ribosomal RNA". It matches the Rfam family "Bacterial small subunit ribosomal RNA", at positions 28 to 506 of the family's 1533-position model. The record is from RNAcentral.
AACGAACGCUGGCGGCAUGCCUAACACAUGCAAGUCGAACGAGACCUUCGGGUCUAGUGGCGCACGGGUGCGUAACGCGUGGGAACCUGCCCUUAGGUUCGGAAUAACUCCCCGAAAGGGGUGCUAAUACCGGAUAAUCUCUUCGGACCAAAGAUUUAUCGCCUUUGGUUGGGCCCGCGUUGGAUUAGCCAGUUGGUAGGGUAAAAGCGUCCUAAGGCGCCGAUCCAUAGGUGGUGGGGGAGGAUGAUCUGCCAACCUGGGAUUGGGACCCGGCCCAGACGCCUCGGGGGGGCGGCGGGGGGGACAAUGGGACAGGGGGCAAAAGCCUGAUCCGCCACGGCCGGGGGGGUUAUGAAGGCCUUGGGGUUGUAAAGCUCUUUUACCCGGGAUGAAAAGACCGGAACCGGGAAAAAAGGCCCCGCCUACCUCCGG